This is a long non-coding RNA of Sapajus apella (tufted capuchin), 110 nucleotides long. RefSeq lists it as uncharacterized. The record is from RefSeq and is a predicted model, not a curated record. The transcript is spliced from 3 exons. Lineage: Eukaryota; Metazoa; Chordata; Mammalia; Primates; Cebidae.
AUAUAUAUAUAUAUAUCCAUAUAAAUAAUGUGUCUCUGAAAGGUACAGAUCUGGCAUCACGAUCAUGGUGAUAGACAGAUGGUGGAACAGUCCUGAUAUCACGAUCAUGG